CAGUAGCGUAUAUUAAAGUUGUUGCAGUUAAAAUGCUCGUAGUUGAAGUUCGGAUGCAGCAGAGCUUGGAAACGCUGUUAUGGUGCUUCCGUUGCUUUUGCUUGUCCACAGUGCGUUGCAAGUACGUAUGUGCUUGUGCGUGCAUUUUACUUUGAGAAACAUAGGGUGUUCCACGCAUGUUACGGCAUGAAUAUUCCAGCAUGGGAUAAUCUGGUACGACUUCCAAUCUGCCAUUUUGGUUCGUAGGUUGGAAGUAAUGAUUAAUAGGGACUGUCGGGGGCAUUGGUAUUUGACUGUCAGAGGUGAAAUUCUUAGAUUCGUUGAGGACCAAUCACUGCGAAAGCAUUUGUCAAGGAUGUCUCCAUUAA
RNAcentral lists this ribosomal RNA (368 nucleotides) under uncultured eukaryote. Its description in RNAcentral is "partial 18S ribosomal RNA". It matches the Rfam family "Eukaryotic small subunit ribosomal RNA", at positions 592 to 976 of the family's 1831-position model. The record is from RNAcentral.